Myxocyprinus asiaticus (Chinese sucker) is the source of this 4111-nucleotide long non-coding RNA. RefSeq lists it as uncharacterized. Lineage: Eukaryota; Metazoa; Chordata; Actinopteri; Cypriniformes; Catostomidae. The record is from RefSeq and is a predicted model, not a curated record. The transcript has 3 exons.
CAUAGGUCCGUCUGAAUCGAGCUGCAGUGCAGAGCCUGAAUGGGGGGCUUGGCCCCGGGCCAGGAUGGUCAAAAUUAGCUCUCUGUUCAAUUAUAUGCAGUCAGUCAGUGGACGCGGUGUCGUCGGAAUCUGACGCCCCAGUCCUGCAGCCUUGUAUGGGGUGUAAGAGUCCCCACAAGGCUGCUUACCACCGCCUGGAGUCUUUUUCUGUGCACACAAGCGUUCUGGGGGCAACAGCCGGCGAAAAAGCAAUUUAAAAGGACAACAAGAAGAAAGGCUUUAUCUGUUGCUGCUUCAAAAAUGACCCCAGCAGGAGCUUUGAGAGAUCCCAUGAGCGCUGACAGCUGUGUUCCUGACCCUGGUGGCACGGAGAAGAACUGCCACAAAAAACCAGCAUUCCUUCUGUGUGAUGUAGGAUAGAGAAUGACCUAUCCUCAUGUGUAUUUUUUAUUUCCUAAAUCAUGUAUAUCCUUAUUUUUUAUGGUUAUGGCGUGUGAUAAAGAUGAAUUAUGACGCUGGGGCUUUUUCCCCCAUCUUAAUAAUAUUUUAGAAAAUCCUGGGACUCUAAGCCUUGAUGAUAUGAUCUUUGGAGGGGAGCGGCAGUAAAGACAUACAGCACCUUAAGACAGAUCUGACCGACUGGAGCUUCACUAAAGACCCACAUGUCUGUGUUUGCAAACUCCACAGGGGCCCUCAGGGGCCCGGAAUCCUCACGUCGGCAGCAACAGCACGUCUUCCACUUGUCCACUCCUAUUUUGCACAGCUGUAAUCUUUCAUCCACCUGAUUGUUCAUAAUUCCUGUAAACAAACCCACCCAUGUGUUAACCUACACGCCAGUGUUCUGUAUGUAUUUCCAUGGGAUGAUACUGUAAACAUGCCAAACAUUAGUGGUCGACCGAUAUUUUUUUUAAAUUUUUUUUUUAAUUGGCCGAUACCAAUGAGAGAAUUUUAAAAUUGUGAUUUCCAGGCCCGGAAAUGUCAUCAAAUGUCAAAAACUUUAAAAGUGGAAAUUUCUAUAGAGUAAUAUACAUUUUUAUCUUGUAUGCGCUGCUCUAAAUUAUUUAAUCGGCUAGAAAUUGCUCCGUAAAAUUAUUAUUUGUAUUUUUUUGGAUUUUUCCCCUUUUUCUCCCAAUUUGGAAUGCACAGUUCCCAAUGUGCUUUUAAGUCCUCGUGGUCGUGUAGUGAUUGCCUCCGUGUCUGAGACUGUCAACCCGUGCAUCUUAUCAUGUGGCUUGUUGAGCGCGUUGCCACGGAGACGUAGCGCAUGUGGAGGCUUCACGCUCAACUCACCACACGCCCCACCGAGAACGAACCACAUUAUAGCGACCACGAGGAGGUUACCCCAUGUGACUCUACCCUCCCUAGCAACCGGGCCAAUUUGGUUGCUUAGGAGACCUGGCUGGAGUCACUCGGCACACCCUGGAUUUGAACUAGCGAGCUAGUGAACUCCAGGGGUGGUAGCCAGCGUCUUUACCAUUGAGCUACCCAGGCCCCCCCAUAAAAUGAUUAUUAAAUAUCCAGUAAUCUUGAACGACUAGUAAAAUCAAGAAAAAUGUAUUGCUUAAAAGCAGGGCUGUUAAGAGCAUGGUGGCCGAAAUAAUGCUGAUAUUAAUUAAAUACUUUUUAAAAGUACACUAGAUUGCUAAAUUUAAACAAAACCUUAUUUUACGCAAUUUAAAAUUCUCUGAAACUAUGAUAAAGGAAUAUUCCGGGUUCAAUGCAAGUUCAGCUCAGUCGACAGCAUUUGUGGCAUAAUGUUGAUUACCACAAAAACUAAUUUCGACUCGUCCUUCGUUUAUAUAUAUAUAUAUAUAUAUAUAUAUAUAUAUAAACAAAAACAAUUACAGUGAGACACUUACAACGGAAGUGAAUGAGGCCAUUCUGUAAACACAUUAAAAUACUCACCGUUUCAAAUAGCCACGAGACAAACAAUAUAAGUGUUAAAAUGAUUUCAGUGUGAUAAAAUCAGUGAUUUAUCAGUAUUGUGCCAUUUUCCAGAUUAUAGGGUUUACCGCUGUUAUGUUCUAAUAUUGGAUAUAACUUCACACAGAUAUGAUUAGAAGGUGAUUUUAUCACACUAUAAUCAUAUUAACACGUAUAUUGUUUACGUCUUGCGGCUAUAAUUUUGAAACUGUGCGUUUUAGCAUUUAUGGACUGCCCCAUUCACUUGCACUGUUAGUGUCUUACAGUAACUGCGAUUUUUGCUUCCUUUUUUUGUCUUAAUAAACAAGCAACAAGUUAACGGAAUACUCCUUUAAUCGGGCGACGUCAACAAUCUCAAAAUAGCCAAAUGUUGGCCGGACCAAUAUAUAUGUAUAUUGGCCUAUCACUACCAAACACACACACAUGCACACCCAAACACUUCAGUUUCACUAUGUUCUUGCCAGAACACGCUCGGAUUCGCCCAUCUCAUCUCCAUCACUAAACAACUUCAAUCAAUACUCACACUUUACAGUAUUUACUGAGGCUAAGAGUCCCCACUUCUCAUGCAGUUACUAAAAAAAGCUACGGAAGUUCAUCAUUUUUUUUUGUUUGUUCUAUUUUUAGAAUUUGCUUAUUAAGAUUUGCUUUCAAUUUUUGUGUUUCUUUGCCAGUAUAUUAAAGUGUAAUCAUGUACGUUGUGAUAUAUAAAUAGCUGUAGAGACGCAUUGUUUCCUUGUGGUAAGUGACUGAGAUGCUGCCACGGAUUUGAGACACUGAUGAAUGGUGCUAUUUUGGACUUUUAUCUGCUCCUUGGUAAGGAAGUUCAGAUGGUUUUUAUUUUAUAUUUUCAUGUUGGGAGGAGGUGUUGGUUCUUUGUUGUCUGGUUGUCGUAACUCGGAUCGGAUUGACUUUAUUCCCUUUGUUGUUUUCCGUGCGGCUUUCUCAUUGGACAGAAAAACGGAUUUGUCGAAGAGUUUUGCGAAAUUACGAAAAUAUAAAUGGUCAGAGCAAUCACAAAACUGCAAUUUUUAACACCAUUUACCCUUUAUUGUAAAGGUUUGUUCAAGGAGUAGUUACAAUUUCUGGCACUAGUCACUUCUGGCAAUAGACAACUCUGCAUAGUCUAAACUAGAUAAGGAAUUUGACAUUUUUUGUUGUUCGCAAUUGCUUCCGUAAAGGUAAAGUGUGUAAUUUUGCCCUGUUUAAUAUGCAGAGUCAACUAUAAAUAAGCCAUUCGUAGGUUUAUUCACUGUAACUCUGUGGCACUAUCAAAACAUUGCUCUGUUUGUUUGAGCAUCCCGACCAGCUCAACACGGCAACAUUGAGUUUUCUGUUUGGACGACCAAUGGAAGACAGGAUGAGUGUUCACAUGUAUUCUGUUUCAGAAAUUACACACUUUACCUUUAAAAACAUCAAGGACACUUUCAAAUAGAAAUCACUGUAUAACAUGGGGGUGUUGCUGUUGUAGGUUGCUGUGCACAGUCCCAGGUGAUGGUGGUUUAUAUAGUGUAUAUACCAGGGCAGCUGUAUACUCUACACCAGCUGGGAAUAUCUAAUGAAAAACACAAGUCAUCCGUCUAAUGCACGGGGUCCUUUGAUGUAUUUUCUAGGGCUAAAAUGUAGCAUCAAAACCAACGGUCUCAUUGACGUUUUUAGCGAGUGGUUUUGUAAAUGACUUUUAUUGGUUUUAGGAUACAAACCUAAAGCUUUCUAUUUAUUCGUUUGGGUGAUUAAUUUAUGUAGCAAGGUAUCGUCACUCUGUAUUUGCAGUUUUGUCUUUGCUUCCAGUUAACGCAUACUUUUAACAAUCCUAAUUCAAAGACCAACUGGAAAGCCCACGUUAGUUUUGUCGUCUUCCAUUUUUUUUCCCACUCUAGUGGGGACAUUCCCAGCUUGCUUUAGUCUUUCCCUAGUGGUUAUGGCAUAUCCACUGCAUGCUCUUUGCUCUUGGUUUUGUUUUUUAAACUAAAUCAUUGUAUUUGUAGUUUCCUCACUUAGAAUAGGUAUGCCAACUGUGUUGUAAAUAGCCAAGUGAAUAGCUUGUAGUAUGUUGAAUUAUUCUGUAAUAACUGUGUAUUAUUGGUGUACAAACAUAAAGUCUAGCCUUGUGAACUUUGUAAUGAUUCACUAGUAUUUCAUGACAUUUUGAAACUUAAGCUGUAGUUAAUAAAUAUGCAAGCUCUGACAA